ACACUCUUAUUUCAUCCGGCCUGGGGAGGAGGGGAAAGAGGAAGUCACCUGUGAAAUUGUCUUUGCGCUUUGGACUCAAGCCCCCAGGUAGGGCAGUAACAGGUAUUCUAAUCUCUGCAGGUCUCCUUACCUUCCUGUUUGGUCUCGGGUGGUUUGUUUUUGACCUACGUAGCUUAUGGGUUUUCCCUGCUUGGGCUGCUGCCCCCUGGGUCCUUCCCCUCUCUCCCUGCAGCCUUAUGCAGCAACAGCUCCCUGUGCUUUCCCUUCCCUCCUCCUGCUGCUGCAUCUCUGCCUUCG
RNAcentral lists this long non-coding RNA (297 nucleotides) under Homo sapiens (human). RNAcentral describes it as "non-protein coding MIR3681HG:28". The record is from RNAcentral. Lineage: Eukaryota; Metazoa; Chordata; Mammalia; Primates; Hominidae.